RNAcentral lists this ribosomal RNA (433 nucleotides) under uncultured bacterium. RNAcentral describes it as "bacterial SSU rRNA". It matches the Rfam family "Bacterial small subunit ribosomal RNA", at positions 917 to 1349 of the family's 1533-position model. The record is from RNAcentral.
GGGCCCGCACAAGCGGUGGAGCAUGUGGUUUAAUUCGAUGCAACGCGAAGAACCUUACCUACUCUUGACAUCCAGAGAACUUUUCAGAGAUGAAUUGGUGCCUUCGGGAACUCUGAGACAGGUGCUGCAUGGCUGUCGUCAGCUCGUGUUGUGAAAUGUUGGGUUAAGUCCCGCAACGAGCGCAACCCUUAUCCUUGUUUGCCAGCGAGUAAUGUCGGGAACUCCAGGGAGACUGCCGGUGAUAAACCGGAGGAAGGUGGGGACGACGUCAAGUCAUCAUGGCCCUUACGAGUAGGGCUACACACGUGCUACAAUGGCGCAUACAGAGGGCAGCCAACUUGCGAGAGUGAGCGAAUCCCAAAAAGUGCGUCGUAGUCCGGAUUGGAGUCUGCAACUCGACUCCAUGAAGUCGGAAUCGCUAGUAAUCGUGGAU